UAGUUUUGCACACCGCCUUAGGCAGCAAGGAAAGGAGCUCCACGCGCGUCCCCCUUCCUAGAAAGAAGGGGGGUGCGCGGUAUGAAGGUUAGUGCUGGAUUGUUACCGCUAUGGUUGUGCGGUAUUUCUUUCUCAAUUCUCCACACCUUAGAGUCCAUCUCAAGAGGGAUUUUGAGGAUUAUCUCCAGAGGUUUCAUGUCCUAAAAUCCUCAGGUGGUUGCCGCACAAAG
This 230-nucleotide long non-coding RNA is filed under the name Elaeis guineensis (African oil palm). Its description in RNAcentral is "long non-coding RNA (EGUI_LNC069520)". The record is from RNAcentral. Lineage: Eukaryota; Viridiplantae; Streptophyta; Magnoliopsida; Arecales; Arecaceae.